This is a long non-coding RNA of Sorghum bicolor (sorghum), 3748 nucleotides long. RefSeq lists it as uncharacterized. The record is from RefSeq and is a predicted model, not a curated record. Lineage: Eukaryota; Viridiplantae; Streptophyta; Magnoliopsida; Poales; Poaceae. The transcript is spliced from 4 exons.
GGUAAUCUGGGUUUUCUUUAAUUCUUUAUUCCCUUUCAAUACCUAUGUAUGCAAACUUUAGUGCUCUUGAGGUACAUGAACAACUUUCUUUUUCCUAUAAAACAAAAUUUAAGGCAACACACAAUACAAUAUAUUCUUGAAGAUCUGUCAAACUUGAUUGCAUCAUCUUCAAUUUAUGUUCCGAAUUUUCUGAUUGGAAACAAACUAAUGCUAUUGGACCUUGCCUUAAAUUAUGUUGCAGACACUUUAAACUCAAAAGAAUAAACCCUAGGACGAGAUAAGCACCGCUAUGAGUUCCUCUGAGGUUUGUUUUUGCUUCCCCUUUGUCCCCUCUUUCUUGUCACUGCAAGGAGAUAAGCAACAUCGUCAAUGUUUGUUCAAUUUGAUUUAGCCAAGUAGCAGACAACUCAGAUGUUGCAAAUUCUAAGGACGGUGUUCAUUUGGCCCUAAAUCUUGUUCUGCAACUUUGACCAUCCAACAUGAUUUGGAUACAAUUUUGCCUUGCUAAUAUUGUGGACUUCAUGAAAGGGUUAGUUUUUCCAUGCUACUAGCUUGCAAAUAAUUCCAGAUAGUUUUCAAUUACUGCAGAUUGUAUAGUAUAAAUUUCGAAACUACUACACUUCUACUAUCUUGCGAAUUUCUUAUUUUUAUUUCUAAAAUCUUUGGACUAAUUUACCCUAACAAUUCUAAGUUGCUCCCCGUGUCGCCACCCCAGCCACGUCUCCUCAAAUCUGCCAUUGGUGCACCUCAAUGCCACCUCACCUCCUCCCCCUCCCAUUGGUCCAUCUUAGCCUGAUUGGCUGAUUCCCUUUGUGUGGCCAGGAGCAGCCCACGUCGGCCUCCACAAAAACAUCUAGCGCUCUCCCCACUCCUCAUAAAAAAAUAGCAUGACCUCCCCAUCCUCACUCUCGAGCCCGAGGUGGAGGCGACAAGACGACAGUGCCCCACGGGCGGUGCGGCCGAGGCAGGGGCGACGGCAUGACGACGCCCCAAGCCAGCGCAGCGCUAGCCCCCUCCUUCUCCGUCCACUGUGCGUAUAAGUCUCGGCAGUCUCUUCCCUUCCAUUCUCUCUCUCUCUCCCCAUCCCUUCCGAUGCGGACAGGGCAGUGGCACAAGUGGACCUCCACAAUGGCUGCCACUCGGCACGAUGACCGCGGCCCUUGUUCUCAUCCACACCCCCCACGCGUGACGUACGGAGCGACAGCGGGCCCCCAACGUGGCGGCGGUGGCGGUGGCGAUGGGGUGACCUAGGGUUUUGCCCCGCCGUAGGUGGCAGCGACCCUAGUGUGGGUAACAUACCGGCAUAGUUCCGACCUCGGCUCCGAAUCGGCCGACACGCCAGCACGGGUGGUUGCACAUAGUCCAGCCCGAUGUAACACAGUGCACUGUGGUUUGCUUGCCUUCUAUGCCCCUCUGCUAGGUCCGUGCUCUAUAGGUGAUGCUGCCCUGUAUCAUUUUUGGCUUCAUUUGUACCUUCAUGAUGUUUUGGAUAUUCCUUUCACUGAUACACGACGCUUGUGCUUGAGGAUGUAGGGUUCUUUAGAGGUUCUGCUCAAAUAGUCUAAACAUGACUCCUGCAGAAUUUCUCACCUGGGUAAUAUUUGCAGUCUAAUGCAGAUUAAACAGUUGCAAAUCUAAAAGCAUUAUCGUAUUUUAUUUCUUAGAUUAAUUCUAUUUGUCAGUGUCAGCCAACCAACACAUGUAUGUACACAUGCAAAUCUAAACAGCCAACCAACACAUGUAUCUAGACAUGCUUACACAUCUUCGGUCACGUAAUAAACUUCAGGUUUUCCUUACUCUUAAAUUUACAUACUUCACAGUACAAUAAUUAAACAUCAAAAUACUAUGUACACUAUUUCUACCUGAUGGAAACAACAGGGUUACAUGAUCUUACCCACACACUUCUUUCUGUCUAUUCUUCAAUAUUGUGUUCUUGGGAAUUUGGAGCACAUCUUCCUUCUGCUUCAUGCUUGCUGAUGCUCCUUUCCUCUAUGCUAUGUGAUGUAGGACCUCAACCAAGAGGAUCUGCGUAGACUAAUAAGAUUGGAAGGUGUGUUGGUGAGUUUCUUUCAUUUUGGCUGUUGUGUCUUUCCUUCAUAUCUUUUCUAGAUGCACAGAAUGGUGUGGAUCAGGAUAACAUUAUCCUCUUGUGCAAAAUAAAUUUCAAUUGAUUAGAAAUCUGUUUGGUCCCAUCAAUGAUAAGUAAUCAAUACAUAUUAUCCAUAGGCAUCCACAUGACCCUUUUUGUAUCUUUCCUUUUUUCACAUGUGAAGUGCUUUCUGAUUCUGAUUACGUAUUAUGUCUGCUGCUAGGCUCACUCAUGUUUUUCCCCUUUGUUGCCUUCAAGCAUGGUAUGCACAACAGAGGACCUACAAAUAUGUCAGCAGCUCCUACUUAUCCCAGUAGGAUCUAAUCUGACCUACUAACCAUAUACUCUGUAUAGGAAUUUGAUAAAAAUGGAUCUUCCCUUUCGGAGUAACGGUUUCGAUUUUUAGAUAACAGGGACAGACCUAGGUGCCGCAAUAGAUACUAUAUAUAUGGUUAUGGCAAUGAGAGCCAGGAUGGAACACUCGAAUUAAAAACAGGUCUAUCUAGCCAUUCAACAACCAGAGAUUGUCCCAUUUUAUUGUUUUUCUGAAUUCUGAGUAAGGAUCCUUUCCUCGUUUGGUAUUCUGUUAUGAAUGUUAGGUUAGUUUUCUUUGCCUCGUAUGCAAUUCAUAAUAAAUUUUUAGGUGAAUAUAGCUGGCCUGUUGGUUGGCGUUGUUCAGUAUGACUGGUGCUCUUGAUUUGAGAAGACUCUACAACAUUGGCAACAUGACAAUUGGAAUGGUUCCUCCACUACUAAGUUCCACAUCUCAUGGACAUUCAUAGCAAUAUACUCGAGCACAUCAUCCUAGAGAACAAUGAAAACAAGCCUUCCCUGCAUAGGGCGCCAUCAUGAUGAGCUUUCUGUGUGGCAGACCGUCGUCGACACGAUUUUUUUGGCUAAACACCGCACGUAGCACAGCCCUAGCCCAGCUUCAUCCUCCAAGCUGCACUGGCCGCACCUCCUCUAGGUCUAACCCCGCCCUGCAUCUAUGCAAGCCAGCCAUGAAGGAUCGAUCAAGUAUGACAGCAAUUGGCUAUCGCCAUGGGCCUACAAAUCAAGUUCACUUGGUCAACUUCCCUGAUCCCGCACCGACGGCGCUGGCUUCGUCUUCAGUCUUCACCACCGAAACAGAAGGCACCAUCCGCAUUGUUCCAUCGAGAUGAGCGGCGGCCUCGAUCACAGCUCAUCUACAUAGGGACGAGGGGCUAGGAUCAAGGACGACCUGGACUAGGAGCAAGGAAUCAAGAAUGGCUGAUGGCUUCACGUCACUCUCUAUGAUUGCUAGAUAAUGGAGAUGUUGUCAGCUCCUGAGAAGCAUCACGACAUGAAUGAGUCACGCGCGUACGUCUAAGCGCGAUCAAUGAGGGCACUCACGCAUCCGUACUCCCCAACAGCGUGCAUGAUUGGUGGCCAUACGAGAGGAAUAGAUGCAAACACACAGGGCGCAGGUGCCAUGACGUCCGGUGUCCACAGAAGCUGUAGGCACCUGCGGACUAAAGUCAAUGAGAAAGUACGUUGGUGAUCAGAAGGAGUUGGCAAUCAAGAAGAAGUAAUCCGUUGAAGGUUUGGACUAGAAGAAGGAUCUAAGUUUAAGGCAAGUAUAGCAUUUGGAUUUUAUUUCUGUGACCAUGAUCCUGUGACUAGAUUAAUGUUAAGUAA